RNAcentral lists this long non-coding RNA (2004 nucleotides) under Daphnia pulex (common water flea). Its description in RNAcentral is "uncharacterized LOC124192727". The record is from RNAcentral. Lineage: Eukaryota; Metazoa; Arthropoda; Branchiopoda; Diplostraca; Daphniidae.
AAAUAAAAAGAAAUGAAAAAGAAUAAAAGAUAGGCGGAAGAAAAUAAACGCUCUUCGUUCUUUUAUUUAUUUUUUUUUUAUCGUUCACGUGAGUAGUUUGUCUACGUGUGUAGGAAAAGGGCGCGCGAAAAAAAACCUCGUCUCUCUCCCUCUGUCUUUGAUUCUUUGCACAUUUCAUUCUUCUUCUUCCCCAUUCGUUGGGUUGUGACGUGAAUUGUUUUUUUUCAGCUAGACUUCUCAUUUGGCGCAUACCAGGAUAAAGUUGCCCGGCCCGCUAGAUGGCAUCUAGAUUUACUCUUCCGGAACGCGUAUAGUUAGUUAGGUCUACCAUAUCUCGUCCUUCAGACAUUUGUCACGUAUACCACCCAGACACAUGCACCCACCACACACACACACAGCACACACGGAAAAGCAAUUAAACGAAUUCAUCAAGUGUGUCUUAUUAUCGUCAUCCAUUCACGCUAUUAAGGUCGGUACAAACAACGGGCGGUUAAAGAUUACAAUCCCCCAUUCAAUCAAAAUGAAAUAAAAGCGGAUCGUAUAUUAUAGUAGGACUCGAUUGUAAUUUAAUCCCGCUGGAAGCACUGCUACAGUAGUACCCAUUGUGCUAUUGUUGGCCUUUUAAUAACUGAAUUAUACUUACAGUUCGUUAGCGUUAAAUUUCCACUUCAAUUCGAUCGCACAGACUCCAAAUAGGCCGACGCCGUCUAUGAAAGUAUAAUUGACGGUGUUUUAGAUGAGGUCACAAUCCGUAAUUUGUUGCUCAAAUUCCCACGUUUGUUUCGACUCGGCGAACAGCCAGUUCCGGUAAAUCGAUUGGGAUGUGAUGAGUUGAAGGUGGAAUGUGUCCGUGAGAGUCUUUUAUGACACAAAUCAAGGGCUUUUUUGCUCGGGAUAACCUUGUCUUGGGCGUCCAAGCAAUUUACAUAUGUAUACUGGGCAUAUUCGGCAACGCUAGGAGAUUGGGGUCAAGGCGCGAUUUGUUCAUCCUUGCGCCGGCGUCCGCGAGCCGUUUGUGCGAGCCCAGUUCUCUCUCUCUCCCUCUCUCUCUCUCUCUCUCUGCGUAUUAUCUCGUUUCCGCUUUGAGCACUCACGAACGCGACGGAACCCCCUUUUUUCUGUCUGUUCCUUUCGGUUUGAAGUCGUUCGGGGUUCGUCACAAUUCAAAUAAAACGAAUGCAACGCGCAUUUGGUUCCAUCAGUAAACAAAGAGACGAAACAACGUCAAGACGUGUGUUCCCGAUCUGUUUCUCGCACACAAGUUCAGAGUUUCUUUCUCGUCGUUGCAUUUUCGUUUUGACCAAAUUUCGCAAUAAUUCGCCAAGCAGUCGUCGUCAUCCGCCCCGCAGAAACUUCUGUCGCCCAUUUGUCAUCGUCAUCCAGCGCGGAGUGCGGAGUUGUUUUUGUCGCCAGCAUGAAGAGCUUCUUUCACGUUUUCAGAUGGAUCGCCCUGUGUUCCAUGUUACUGUUUGUCUUCUUCAGCGUCCAAACUGUCUCUUCGGCCAGUCUCAAAGGGGAUCACCAAUCGCUGACGGCGCAAAGUCUCAACGGAGUUCAUUCCGUUGCUCCACCUGAAGGCGGGGACAAAGUGACGACUCGCUCGGCAACGACCAGCACGACGACGACUCAGCCGCGCAACAAAUCGCUCAGCCGCCGAGCGCGGAUCCAUUACCGGAUCGGAUGAAUGUGAUCCUGCCCAUCAUUCAAAGUGGCCUAGCCUGCCUGCAAGUAGUCUACACACAAUCACACACACACACACACAAGAGGCUGCUUCCGCUGCUGUCCAUCCUGGAACGUUGAAUUUUUUAAUUUUAUUAUUAUUUUAAUAUUGCUGUGUGUUUGUAUCAUAGAUGAAAUGACGUGAUAUGCCGCUAUACAAUUUCAAAUGUUCUAAUUGUACCAAGAUAGAGAUAGAGAAAUGCAAUCCAGUUCAUUCCACAUGUUGUACACAGUUCGUGUGUAUUAAAUACAAAACAACAAAUCCAAAUAUUAUUCGCGAAAGAU